AAGAAACUAACAAGGAUUCCCCUAGUAACUGCGAGUGAAGCGGGAAAAGCUCAAAUUUAAAAUCUGACAGUUGUUUUGGCUGUCCGAGUUGUAAUCUAGAGAAGUGUCUACCCGCGCUGGACCGUGUACAAGUCUCCUGGAAUGGAGCAUCAUAGAGGGUGAGAAUCCCGUCUUUGACAUGGAUCUACCAGGGCUUUGUGGUGCACUCUCAAAGAGUCGAGUUGUUUGGGAAUGCAGCUCAAAAUGGGUGGUAAAUGCCAUCUAAAGCUAAAUAUUGGCGAGAGACCGAUAGCGAACAAGUACCGUGAGGGAAAGAUGAAAAGAACUUUGGAAAGAGAGUUAAACAGUACGUGAAAUUGCUGAAAGGGAAACGCUUGAAGUCAGUCGCAUCGACUGGAAAUCAACCUUGCUUUUGCAUGGUGUACUUUCUGGCUGAUGGGUCAGCAUCAAUUUUGAUUGCUGGAUAAAGGCUUGGGGAAUGUGGCAUCUUUGGAUGUGUUAUAGCCCCUGGCUGCAUACGGCAGUUGGGAUUGAGGAACUCAGCAUGCCGCAAGGCCGGGUCUUUUUGACCACRUAUAUGUGCUUAGGAUGCUGGCAUAAUGGCUUUAAUCGACCCGUCUUGAAACACGGACCAAGGAGUCUAACAUGCAUGYGAGUGUUUGGGUGGAAAACCCAUGCGCGCAAUGAAAGUGAAAGUUGAGAUCCCUGUCGUGGGGAGCAUCGACGCCCAGACCAGACCUUUUGUGACGGAUCUGCGGUAGAGCAUGUAUGUUGGGACCCGAAAGAUGGUGAACUAUGCCUGAAUAGGGUGAAGCCAGAGGAAACUCUGGUGGAGGCUCGUAGCGAUUCUGACGUGCAAAUCGAUCGUCAAAUUUGGGUAUAGGGGCGAAAGACUAAUCGAACCAU
This 906-nucleotide ribosomal RNA is filed under the name Mallocybe arenaria. RNAcentral's name for it is "partial large subunit ribosomal RNA". The record is from RNAcentral. Lineage: Eukaryota; Fungi; Basidiomycota; Agaricomycetes; Agaricales; Inocybaceae.